AUGGGAUUCCAACUCAGCACCUUUUGUUUUGAGAUUUUGAGAAGAGUUUCUCUUUGGAGAGCCCAGUCGAUCUAUGAUUUCACAUUCACGGACGUUGAUAAGAUCCUUCCAUUUAGUAGCACCUUAGGAUGGCAUAGCCUUAGCGUUAAUGGCGAGGUUCAAAAGAGGAAAGGCUUGCGGUGGAUACCUAGGCACCCAGAGACGAGGAAGGGCAUAGCAAGCGACGAAAUGCUUCGGGGAGUUGAAAAUAAGCAUAGAUCCGGAGAUUCCCAAAUAGGUCAACCUUUUAAACUGCCUGCUGAAUCCAUGAAGAGGCAAGAGACAACCUGGCGAACUGAAACAUCUUAG
RNAcentral lists this ribosomal RNA (348 nucleotides) under Triticum aestivum (bread wheat). RNAcentral's name for it is "partial small subunit ribosomal RNA". The stretch from base 157 to 348 matches the Rfam family "Bacterial large subunit ribosomal RNA", at positions 1 to 206 of the family's 2925-position model. Lineage: Eukaryota; Viridiplantae; Streptophyta; Magnoliopsida; Poales; Poaceae. The record is from RNAcentral.